RNAcentral lists this ribosomal RNA (253 nucleotides) under uncultured bacterium. RNAcentral describes it as "partial 16S ribosomal RNA". It matches the Rfam family "Bacterial small subunit ribosomal RNA", at positions 524 to 776 of the family's 1533-position model. The record is from RNAcentral.
CACGUAGGGUGCGAGCGUUGUCCGGAAUUAUUGGGCGUAAAGGGCGCGUAGGCGGUGCGGUAAGUCACCUGUGAAACCUCUAGGCUCAACCUAGAGCCUGCAGGCGAAACUGCCGUGCUUGAGGGUGGGAGAGGUGCGUGGAAUUCCCGGUGUAGCGGUGAAAUGCGCAGAUAUCGGGAAGAACACCCGUGGCUAAGGCGGCUCUCUAGUACGGUACUGACGCUGAGACGCGAAAGCGUGGGGAGCGAACAGG